GAUGAACGCUGGCGGCGUGCCUAAUACAUGCAAGUCGAGCGAACGGACGAGAAGCUUGCUUCUCUGAUGUUAGCGGCGGACGGGUGAGUAACACGUGGAUAACCUACCUAUAAGACUGGGAUAACUUCGGGAAACCGGAGCUAAUACCGGAUAAUAUUUUGAACCGCAUGGUUCAAAAGUGAAAGACGGUCUUGCUGUCACUUAUAGAUGGAUCCGCGCUGCAUUAGCUAGUUGGUAAGGUAACGGCUUACCAAGGCAACGAUGCAUAGCCGACCUGAGAGGAUGAUCGGCCACACUGGAACUGAGACACGGUCCAGACUCCUACGGGAGGCAGCAGUAGGGAAUCUUCCGCAAUGGGCGAAAGCCUGACGGAGCAACGCCGCGUGAGUGAUGAAGGUCUUCGGAUCGUAAAACUCUGUUAUUAGGGAAGAACAUAUGUGUAAGUAACUGUGCACAUCUUGACGGUACCUAAUCAGAAAGCCACGGCUAACUACGUG
RNAcentral lists this ribosomal RNA (497 nucleotides) under uncultured bacterium. Its description in RNAcentral is "partial 16S ribosomal RNA". It matches the Rfam family "Bacterial small subunit ribosomal RNA", at positions 28 to 507 of the family's 1533-position model. The record is from RNAcentral.